CCAGCACGCACGGCCCGGGUGGCACAGCCCUGCAGCAGCUGCCAUCCAGGAAAACGUCCCACGGAAUGGCUUCCUGGCACGGAUGGGAAUCCUCUGCCUAGCCUGCAGCAAUGAACGUGGACGGGAGUUAGCUGGUUGCACACAUGACCUUUCUUCCAUAGUACAAGUUAGUUAAUGUACAACAGGCAUCCAGCCCCUGGCAGGUGCCAUGACGAGGAGUCAGGAUAAGAACCCCAUCACGCCUGGCACCUUGGCUUUUGACCAAGGUCAGGAGAACUUCAGGAGAGGUGGGAGAGACACAGACCUCAAUCUGCCCUACUGGCACUGUCUGGCUCUUAUCCGAAACAUCAGAAGUUACUUGCUGACCUGCACCAGAAAUAAACAACAGAUUUGCAUGCUGGCAACACUGUUGAAAAUUUGGACAAACCUUCUAAACUUGCAAUUAGCACCUACCUGAAACCCACCUCACCUAGAACACACAGCAUCAUUCCAGGGCACCAUUCAGUGCAGUCUGAGAGAUUUGCUGCUGCUGCAGGAUGUGUAGAAGGUUUUGUCUGUGUGAGCAAGAUUUUUUAUUGUGGACAUUCAUGUUCAGGCUUCUUUUUGUUGUCCUUCACUUGCAGAUGUCAGUCAAGGACUAUGUGACCAUAGCAACUGAAGUGUCAAUACAAGUUGUUGCACAAUCAGAA
Passer domesticus (house sparrow) is the source of this 689-nucleotide long non-coding RNA. RefSeq lists it as uncharacterized. The record is from RefSeq and is a predicted model, not a curated record. The transcript is spliced from 2 exons. NCBI's taxonomy places the organism in Eukaryota, Metazoa, Chordata, Aves, Passeriformes, Passeridae.